AUGGAUAUGAUGGUGAAAUGGCUCCCUCCGGUUCAAAUAUUGAGCAGCAAGCCUUUGACGGUAUUAAUACAUCGGCCGCGAUUGAUCCAGACAUUGCAGCCGAUGGUACUUCACCAUGUUAAACAGCCAAUUAAACAAAUACGGAAAGGCCUUAAACAAACAGGAAUCUGGCCACUUCUUUUAGAUAGGCCAGAUGUCCACCCCUUAAUUUUCCCAAGGGAGUCAAGUGAGGAGCUUAACCCACAGACCGUGAUCCAGAGCAUUACCUGGCCACAACCCAAUGUUGACAGCGACAAGGAUGAGGACGACACUGUUCCAUUGGAGAAAAUCAGUCUUGUCACUGGAUUUUUGAGAAAAUUCAUAGAGGAAGCGUCACCAGAUGUGCUGCGUGACCUGAUGAAGUUUUGGGUGGGGUGGGAACUGCCAACAACAAAACUCAAUGUUGAGGUUGUGACCUCAACUUAUCCAGUGGCUCACACCUGCUUCUUCAAGUUGAAGCUCCCCAGCCACUACCAGACCUACAAGAUUUUUCACCAGGACUUGAUGAUGGCCCUCAGUUCUUCUCUUUGAGAGCUGUGGCAGCUUUCUUGGCCUCUCUAGUUCAUUAAGCUCAGACUUCCAUAGACAUUUAGUUGUAAUUAUUGAACAGUUUAUACAGCUAGUACAUGUUUAAUACAUUCAGAUAUUUAGGUAGAUACUAGUUUCUCCAGUGUUACUGUUGCCCUUUUACAGUAAUGUUCUAAAUGAUUAAUGUUCUAACAAUGUUGGUUUUGUAAAGCCGAUUUGUCUAAAUUUGUUACCCCUUUACAGUGAUGUGUUGUAAAUACAACUGUACUGCUACAUUUGUUAAAUUUACACAAGACUUGUGUUCCCUUGAACAACAUUAAAGGUGUUAAACAAGCAUUUUUAUGGUCUUAUUCUUU
Cyprinus carpio (common carp) is the source of this 923-nucleotide long non-coding RNA. NCBI's taxonomy places the organism in Eukaryota, Metazoa, Chordata, Actinopteri, Cypriniformes, Cyprinidae. The record is from Ensembl.